CAGGAAAACCAGGCAAUCGCCUGCCGCAAGGCAGGAGGAAAGUCCGAACACCUCCGUCGCAAGAUGGGGCAAGGGUAAUCGGUAACACCGACCGGUGUAAGAAGCGCACGAGGGGUCUCUCGAGAACUUUCGUACGCAGAAAAGACCAGGGCACGUGCAACAGAAAGUAUACCGCCGAUGGCCGUAAGGCACAGGCAAGGUUGAAAUCGUGGGGUAAGAGCCCACGCGUUCGCAUAGUGAUAUGCGAAAAGAGGUAAACCCUACCCGGUGAAAGGGCACAUACAUGGUAGCCCGUUAGAGCUCGCGGGCAAUCGCGAGACUAGAUAGAUGAUUGCCGCCUAUCGCAAGAUGGGACACAAAAUUCGGCUUAUCGGUUUUCCUGUCCU
This 386-nucleotide RNase P RNA is filed under the name bacterium. Its description in RNAcentral is "RNase P RNA component class A". It matches the Rfam family "Bacterial RNase P class A". From Rfam's summary of the family: Ribonuclease P (RNase P) is a ubiquitous endoribonuclease, found in archaea, bacteria and eukarya as well as chloroplasts and mitochondria. Its best characterised activity is the generation of mature 5'-ends of tRNAs by cleaving the 5'-leader elements of precursor-tRNAs. The record is from RNAcentral.